RNAcentral lists this long non-coding RNA (1667 nucleotides) under Vigna radiata. RNAcentral describes it as "long non-coding RNA (VRAD_LNC013586)". The record is from RNAcentral. Lineage: Eukaryota; Viridiplantae; Streptophyta; Magnoliopsida; Fabales; Fabaceae.
CAGUUACCUGAGAGCAUAACCUCUCUUACAAAACUCACAAUUCAAAAGCAUACCCUUAAUCCUAGACUCUAACUUUAUUUAUACUAAUUAUUUCCCAUCCAUCUCUCACUAAAUAUUUUCCUAUAAUAUAUUUGCAUUUAAUAUAAAUAUCCCUAUAUAUAAAUAUCUCCCCUUAUAUUAUCCUAGCAUAUAUCCUUAAUUAUAAAUAUCUUAUAUUGAAUAUUUUCCUAGAAUAUAUAUUUAUUUACUUUAAUUAACUUAUACUAUAUUUAUUUACUCCAAUUAACUUAUACUGAAUAUCUUAUAUUGAAUAUUUCCUUGAAAUAUAUAUUUAUUUACUCUAAUUAACUUAUACUAUAUUUAUUUACUCUAAUUAACUUAUACUGAAUAUCCUCCCACCUUAUACCCUAACCGUUCUUCUGGCGAAUAUACUACACUCGUGAGGCCAAAGCCUACUUGCAAGAUGUUGCAAACAAAAACAAUUCCAUAGGGAGGGGGCACUCUAAACCAAUUUGAUACCUGUAGCCAUGCCAUCACUACACCGACCUCUGAAAAAUAUGGUGUGCUUUUAUAUGCUUUACUCUUAUUCCAAAUUCCAAAAUUCAAACGCACAUUUAACCUUUCACUUUAAUUCUUCAUUCCAAUGAAUCAAUGCAUGCAUAUAUGCAUUAUAUUCUUAUUUGAACAACCAUAAACCUAAAUCAGGUAUCCUCAAAAUUGUGGUCUAUAACAUUACUACUCACAUUCAUUACAAGUAUCACACUCAACAAUUUCUGGUGUAGAGUGAUUGUGAUUUUACAAUCUUCUCCCCACCACAUCUUUAUGUUAUCCCCCACCCAACAAAUAAGUGAUCUGUCAUCAUGAAAUGCAGAGUUAUAAUCAUUUAUAAAAACUAGGUUAAUGAUGGCAGCGAGAGUUAGAGGUCUAGCCAAAUAGUAGUUGUCCUGUUUCUUAGAUCCUACCAUUUGUUACUGGCAGUGAGAGUUUUGGUGAUCUGUCAUGUGAUGAGGUUUUGUUUGGAGGCUUUUUUAUGUUGAACGCUCUGUGGAGACAGUGACAUAGAGUACAAUGGUGUAACUUAACGUCACAGUUAGUGAAUCGUGCUUUUAUGUCUUUAUUAGAAAAGAAAAUUAUUCAUGCAAUACUUAUAAGAUAGUUUGAUUUUUAAUUCAUUUUACCUUUCUAUUAUAGUAGUGUCUAAAAAGUGUUUAGAUAGUCGACCUACUCUAAUUGUGCUCAAUUGUGUCAAAGAAGUGUCUAAGAUGUUUUGAAGAGAUGACCCUGCCAAAAUCAUUUUUCAUUUGCAAGGUUGAGGGAUGUUAGACACAUAACGUUGACAUUCUAUUUUGUAGAAAUGUUGGUAUUUCCUAGCAUAUAACAGAAGUAAACAGGUGUCUUGGUUGAAAGGUUGUGAAACAUUUGUUAGUUCAAGCUAAUUACCUAACUUGCAUGAAUGAUACUAAUCAUUAUUUAUACUAGCUUUUUGCUGACUGUCAACCACGGUUUAUGGUUAAAAUGAGUAAGAGUAACAUCAGAGGUUGUAAAAAUAUGCUGGUUCAAACUAAUUACCUUACAAUACUUGUAAUUAGUAUUUGUAGGAGCUUUCCUCUUACAAACUAUCAACCUCUUUUUAUGUUCUUUAAUGAGAAACUUUUAAAUGCAAUACU